GUGCUCGCUUCGGCAGCACAUAUCCUAAAAUUGGAACAAUAAAGAGAAGAUUCACAUGGCCCCUGAACAAGGAUGACAUGCAAAUUCAUGAAGCGUUCCAUAUUUUA
Molecule: small nuclear RNA, 107 nt
Filed under: Nannospalax galili (Upper Galilee mountains blind mole rat)
Lineage: Eukaryota; Metazoa; Chordata; Mammalia; Rodentia; Spalacidae
Source: RNAcentral